RNAcentral lists this ribosomal RNA (2924 nucleotides) under Staphylococcus aureus. RNAcentral describes it as "23S ribosomal RNA". It matches the Rfam family "Bacterial large subunit ribosomal RNA". Lineage: Bacteria; Bacillati; Bacillota; Bacilli; Caryophanales; Staphylococcaceae. RNAcentral also lists the same sequence under 1 other name. The record is from RNAcentral.
GAUUAAGUUAUUAAGGGCGCACGGUGGAUGCCUUGGCACUAGAAGCCGAUGAAGGACGUUACUAACGACGAUAUGCUUUGGGGAGCUGUAAGUAAGCUUUGAUCCAGAGAUUUCCGAAUGGGGAAACCCAGCAUGAGUUAUGUCAUGUUAUCGAUAUGUGAAUACAUAGCAUAUCAGAAGGCACACCCGGAGAACUGAAACAUCUUAGUACCCGGAGGAAGAGAAAGAAAAUUCGAUUCCCUUAGUAGCGGCGAGCGAAACGGGAAGAGCCCAAACCAACAAGCUUGCUUGUUGGGGUUGUAGGACACUCUAUACGGAGUUACAAAGGACGACAUUAGACGAAUCAUCUGGAAAGAUGAAUCAAAGAAGGUAAUAAUCCUGUAGUCGAAAAUGUUGUCUCUCUUGAGUGGAUCCUGAGUACGACGGAGCACGUGAAAUUCCGUCGGAAUCUGGGAGGACCAUCUCCUAAGGCUAAAUACUCUCUAGUGACCGAUAGUGAACCAGUACCGUGAGGGAAAGGUGAAAAGCACCCCGGAAGGGGAGUGAAAUAGAACCUGAAACCGUGUGCUUACAAGUAGUCAGAGCCCGUUAAUGGGUGAUGGCGUGCCUUUUGUAGAAUGAACCGGCGAGUUACGAUUUGAUGCAAGGUUAAGCAGUAAAUGUGGAGCCGUAGCGAAAGCGAGUCUGAAUAGGGCGUUUAGUAUUUGGUCGUAGACCCGAAACCAGGUGAUCUACCCUUGGUCAGGUUGAAGUUCAGGUAACACUGAAUGGAGGACCGAACCGACUUACGUUGAAAAGUGAGCGGAUGAACUGAGGGUAGCGGAGAAAUUCCAAUCGAACCUGGAGAUAGCUGGUUCUCUCCGAAAUAGCUUUAGGGCUAGCCUCAAGUGAUGAUUAUUGGAGGUAGAGCACUGUUUGGACGAGGGGCCCCUCUCGGGUUACCGAAUUCAGACAAACUCCGAAUGCCAAUUAAUUUAACUUGGGAGUCAGAACAUGGGUGAUAAGGUCCGUGUUCGAAAGGGAAACAGCCCAGACCACCAGCUAAGGUCCCAAAAUAUAUGUUAAGUGGAAAAGGAUGUGGCGUUGCCCAGACAACUAGGAUGUUGGCUUAGAAGCAGCCAUCAUUUAAAGAGUGCGUAAUAGCUCACUAGUCGAGUGACACUGCGCCGAAAAUGUACCGGGGCUAAACAUAUUACCGAAGCUGUGGAUUGUCCUUUGGACAAUGGUAGGAGAGCGUUCUAAGGGCGUUGAAGCAUGAUCGUAAGGACAUGUGGAGCGCUUAGAAGUGAGAAUGCCGGUGUGAGUAGCGAAAGACGGGUGAGAAUCCCGUCCACCGAUUGACUAAGGUUUCCAGAGGAAGGCUCGUCCGCUCUGGGUUAGUCGGGUCCUAAGCUGAGGCCGACAGGCGUAGGCGAUGGAUAACAGGUUGAUAUUCCUGUACCACCUAUAAUCGUUUUAAUCGAUGGGGGGGACGCAGUAGGAUAGGCGAAGCGUGCGAUUGGAUUGCACGUCUAAGCAGUAAGGCUGAGUAUUAGGCAAAUCCGGUACUCGUUAAGGCUGAGCUGUGAUGGGGAGAAGACAUUGUGUCUUCGAGUCGUUGAUUUCACACUGCCGAGAAAAGCCUCUAGAUAGAAAAUAGGUGCCCGUACCGCAAACCGACACAGGUAGUCAAGAUGAGAAUUCUAAGGUGAGCGAGCGAACUCUCGUUAAGGAACUCGGCAAAAUGACCCCGUAACUUCGGGAGAAGGGGUGCUCUUUAGGGUUAACGCCCAGAAGAGCCGCAGUGAAUAGGCCCAAGCGACUGUUUAUCAAAAACACAGGUCUCUGCUAAACCGUAAGGUGAUGUAUAGGGGCUGACGCCUGCCCGGUGCUGGAAGGUUAAGAGGAGUGGUUAGCUUCUGCGAAGCUACGAAUCGAAGCCCCAGUAAACGGCGGCCGUAACUAUAACGGUCCUAAGGUAGCGAAAUUCCUUGUCGGGUAAGUUCCGACCCGCACGAAAGGCGUAACGAUUUGGGCACUGUCUCAACGAGAGACUCGGUGAAAUCAUAGUACCUGUGAAGAUGCAGGUUACCCGCGACAGGACGGAAAGACCCCGUGGAGCUUUACUGUAGCCUGAUAUUGAAAUUCGGCACAGCUUGUACAGGAUAGGUAGGAGCCUUUGAAACGUGAGCGCUAGCUUACGUGGAGGCGCUGGUGGGAUACUACCCUAGCUGUGUUGGCUUUCUAACCCGCACCACUUAUCGUGGUGGGAGACAGUGUCAGGCGGGCAGUUUGACUGGGGCGGUCGCCUCCUAAAAGGUAACGGAGGCGCUCAAAGGUUCCCUCAGAAUGGUUGGAAAUCAUUCAUAGAGUGUAAAGGCAUAAGGGAGCUUGACUGCGAGACCUACAAGUCGAGCAGGGUCGAAAGACGGACUUAGUGAUCCGGUGGUUCCGCAUGGAAGGGCCAUCGCUCAACGGAUAAAAGCUACCCCGGGGAUAACAGGCUUAUCUCCCCCAAGAGUUCACAUCGACGGGGAGGUUUGGCACCUCGAUGUCGGCUCAUCGCAUCCUGGGGCUGUAGUCGGUCCCAAGGGUUGGGCUGUUCGCCCAUUAAAGCGGUACGCGAGCUGGGUUCAGAACGUCGUGAGACAGUUCGGUCCCUAUCCGUCGUGGGCGUAGGAAAUUUGAGAGGAGCUGUCCUUAGUACGAGAGGACCGGGAUGGACAUACCUCUGGUGUACCAGUUGUCGUGCCAACGGCAUAGCUGGGUAGCUAUGUGUGGACGGGAUAAGUGCUGAAAGCAUCUAAGCAUGAAGCCCCCCUCAAGAUGAGAUUUCCCAACUUCGGCUAUAAGAUCCCUCAAAGAUGAUGAGGUUAAUAGGUUCGAGGUGGAAGCAUGGUGACAUGUGGAGCUGACGAAUACUAAUCGAUCGAAGACUUAAUCAA